RNAcentral lists this ribosomal RNA (253 nucleotides) under uncultured bacterium. Its description in RNAcentral is "partial 16S ribosomal RNA". It matches the Rfam family "Bacterial small subunit ribosomal RNA", at positions 524 to 776 of the family's 1533-position model. The record is from RNAcentral.
UACGUAGGGGGCAAGCGUUGUCCGGAUUCAUUGGGCGUAAAGAGCGUGUAGGCGGCCAGGUAGGUCGGUUGUGAAAACUGGAGGCUCAACCUUCAGAGGUCGACCGAAACCAUCUGGCUAGAGUCCGGGAGAGGAGAGUGGAAUUCCUGGUGUAGCGGUGAAAUGCGCAGAUAUCAGGAAGAACACCCGUGGCGAAAGCGGCUCUCUGGAACGGUACUGACGCUGAGGCGCGAAAGCGUGGGUAGCAAACGGG